RNAcentral lists this ribosomal RNA (492 nucleotides) under uncultured bacterium. RNAcentral's name for it is "partial 16S ribosomal RNA". It matches the Rfam family "Bacterial small subunit ribosomal RNA", at positions 29 to 507 of the family's 1533-position model. The record is from RNAcentral.
AGUGAACGCUGGCGGUAGGCCUAACACAUGCAAGUCGAACGGCAGCACAGUAAGAGUUUGCUCUUACGGGUGGCGAGUGGCGGACGGGUGAGGAAUACAUCGGAAUCUACUUUUUCGUGGGGGAUAACGUAGGGAAACUUACGUUAAUACCGCAUACGAGCUACGGGUGAAAGAAGGGGAUAUUUGGACCUUGCGCGAUUGAAUGAGCCGAUGUCGGAUUAGCUAGUUGGCGGGGUAAAGGCCCACCAAGGCGACGAUCCGUAGCUGGUCUGAGAGGAGGAUCAGCCACACUGGAACUGAGACACGGUCCAGACUCCUACGGGAGGCAGCAGUGGGGAAUAUUGGGCAAUGGGCGCAAGCCUGAUCCAGCCAUACCGCGUGGGUGAAGAAGGCCUUCGGGUUGUAAAGCCCUUUUGUUGGGAAAGAAAAGCAGCAGGUUAAUACCCCGCUGUUCUGACGGUACCCAAAGAAUAAGCACCGGCUAACUUCGUG